RNAcentral lists this unclassified non-coding RNA (201 nucleotides) under Melitaea cinxia (Glanville fritillary). Its description in RNAcentral is "misc RNA ENSMCXG00005015910.1". Lineage: Eukaryota; Metazoa; Arthropoda; Insecta; Lepidoptera; Nymphalidae. The record is from RNAcentral.
UGGCGGAUAACGUAGGUUUUAUCAAUCCCAUCAAUAUGGGUAUCAAAUGAAAGGACUCAACAAGCAGAAUACAAUAUACUAUAAAAAAUUUAAAUACAAGAUGGCGGCCGCUACAAAAUGGCGGAUAACGUAGGUUUUAUCAAUCCCAUCAACAUGGGUAUCAAAUGAAAGGUCUCAACAAGGAGAAUACAAUUUACUAUG